This 857-nucleotide unclassified non-coding RNA is filed under the name Hevea brasiliensis (rubber tree). Lineage: Eukaryota; Viridiplantae; Streptophyta; Magnoliopsida; Malpighiales; Euphorbiaceae. The record is from RNAcentral.
GUUUGAUUCCAGAGAAGAAGACCUGCAAUCAGGAGUUCAUUUAGAAAACUUUUGCAUAUGUGGAAUCAGGUGCCUAUAAACAGUUGGGAAAAGUGAACAAGGGCAAUAGUUGUGUAACAUGCUGGACAGAUGAUGGAUAACAAAGAGUACAACCGUUACACCCUCGAUCACAUGCAAAGUUAAACAGGUUAUUAAGUCAGAUCCAAAAAGAGAUCCAAUCAAAAAAAGAAAAACAUAUGAAAAGCUAGAGAAGGUACAGGCAUGGACAGUGGCUAAGAUGACCCUCACUACUCAGUUCAUUUUUGUCUUUCCAUAUUGUAAGUAUAGAAUGGCAUUAAGCCAUACAAAACCCUCUGAAAUAUCCAUUGCUGUUGGUUAAACAUGGCAGAAAAGAUAAUUGAGACUUAAACUGCAAAAGACCAGCAAUCAUAUUGUGAGCCAUUGCCCUUUAUUUUUUGUGUGCACAGCUGUCAUAUAUAUAGGGAUUUUAAUCCAAGAAAAUUGCAAAUUUUAAGAAGCCAUGUGAACUUCCCAUGGUGCAGAUCAAAGAAGGGAGCCCCAAAACACUUUGAGGUCCCCCAUGGUGUUAUGUUGUUGGCUAUACCUUUAUCUAAGUUUUAGUUACUCUGACCUCCUUUACAACAACAACAAGAAAAACUAAGCCUUAACCCCAAACUAGUUGGGGUUGGGGUCAGCUAUAUUUAACUAAAGCCUUCCUACAGGCUAAAUCAGAUUUUGCUGACUAUUCAGAUGCUUAACUAGAAUGUACACCAAUGCCUCCUUGUAUAUUUAGGUAUGGCCCUGCAUGCCUUUGCACGUACAAGUUGAUGUUAGGAGGAAAAGUUUUAAAACAUAUU